UGCUGCUGUCGCCGGGGGUGGGAGCUGCGCGAGCCCGCCCGCCCCUCGACUCGGGAGACUGUAAAAGUUUGUCUCAGCUCCAGCAUCCCGAGCCUCAACACGCCCUCAGCCCCUCCAGCUCGAAUAAUGAAGAGACAGUCAAUGCAAUCUGCAAGCGGCGGCCCAUUGUACGCAGCUGAUGGAAAGAAGGCAACCGGGGCCGGCGAGGGCUCCUUGCCCUCUCUCCUCUCCUCAAAUAAACGCGCUCAUGUCUCCUGAUCAGUUAAAAGGUGAAAUGAACACGAUUAAAAGACAAAAAGAGAGACAGAGAUAGAGAGAUAGAGAGAGAGAGGGAGAGAAGAAAAGAAGGAAGAAAAAGAACAAGCUUUCUACAUAUAAAUUCUAAAUUUUAUUCCUCAUGUAGUACAAAGGCAGGCAGUCGAGGGCAGAGAAAGCAGGCAGGGAGAGGGAGACAGGGAGAAGCAAAGAGAACGUGGAGAGAUACGGAGCGAGUGGAAGAGGAAGGAGGAAGGAGAGCAAGCUCCAGGGAACUGGAGGCGCCCUGGACGCCCAGCCCUCCGGCCCAGCCGCCCUCGGACUCUGGACCGCGAGUCGUGGGCACCAGAAGCGAGACUCGGCCAAGUCCUGCCCUACCAGACAGGGAUUGAGAAACGGAAAUUUCACCACCCUCCAGCCAAACUUUCGAGGACUGAUUGCAGAGGAACUGGUGCUCCAGAUGUUGCACUAGAGGCGCUGCAAGUGUGAGCAGAUGGCAGUAGACCUACCUCACAAGUGGGAGCAGAUAUUCUCAAUGUUUCUAUUGAAAUAUCUUUAUUUCCAUUUGCAAGAGGAGCUCUGGAGCCUCAUUCUUGUGGUAGCUACCAAGUUCUGAUAUAAGCUGUUUUCAUCAGGGAACUUUGGCAAGAGAAUGGCUGGAUCAGCAAGUCCAUCUCCAUCAUGGAACAACAACUUGAAGCUCAUCUCUGUUGAUGAGGGAAUUGCUCUGUGUAUAACUGGAUUCAUUGUGCCCAUGAGAGGAGCUAAGUUCAGGAGCCUCCUGUAUUGUCAUUUUGGACUGGAACUCAGAAGCAAGUUUUGAUAGAAAAUCUUAAAGGCUGAACCCACUGGAUGUGGAAAUUCCUAGGCUAGGCAUUGAAUUGGAGCCGCAGCUGCCUGUCUAGGCCACAGUCACAGCAACACUAGAUCCGAGCCACGUCUGCGACCUACACCACAGCUCACAGCAAUGCUGGAUCCUUAACCCACUGAGCAAAGCCAGGGAUAGAACCCACGUCCUCAUGGAUACCAGUCAGAUGUACAGUCUGUAGGAUGGGGGUAGACUGAAUACCUGCUUCACGGAAUACUUGCUUCAAAUCACCUUUCACAUCUUCUUGUUGGAAAGACAAUCAUUGGAGAAUCGUCUUGUUACUGUCAGCAAAACUGAAAAGAAAUCAAGACAUUAAGAAUGCCACAGUGGCCAGCAGUUAAUGAUGCCAGUGUUAUGCAAGCUUCGGCAAAGGAAUUUUUUUCAAGACAGCGUGCCUCACUAGCCAGAAAUCAGGAAAGGUCGAACCUAUCCUUUUUAUCUCAGCUGUUUCUUCAGUCAGUGCAGCCCCUCCUAAUUAAAGUGAAUUGAAACAUGCAUUGCCUUUUCAGCUUAAUUGAGUACUUACUAUGUGUGAAUCACUGCACAGAAUAGGGGAGGGAAAAUGAGGGAGACAAAUAAGAUAUUGUCCCUGCCUUCAUUGGAUUUACAGUUAGUUUAAGGGCUUUUUUUGUCUUCUGCUCUUAAUUAAGUGUAUCCCUAAGACAGGAAAUGAAUGGAAAAGUGUAUUCUGUAAGUAUUUGAAAUCUCCUUAAUAUAAGACGAAAUAAAAACUAAUGUGA
This 1863-nucleotide long non-coding RNA is filed under the name Sus scrofa (pig). Its description in RNAcentral is "lncRNA (ENSSSCG00035071295.1, ENSSSCG00040021060.1, ENSSSCG00065026625.1)". The record is from RNAcentral. Lineage: Eukaryota; Metazoa; Chordata; Mammalia; Artiodactyla; Suidae.